This 94-nucleotide ribosomal RNA is filed under the name uncultured bacterium. RNAcentral describes it as "partial 16S ribosomal RNA". The record is from RNAcentral.
CCUUCGGGUUGUAAACUCCUGUCGAGGGGGAGGAAGAGGUGGUGCAGAGCCAUCUUUGACCGAUCCCUGGAGGAAGCACGGGCUAAGUUCGUGC